AAGAUUGUAGCUUAGGUUGAAGAGCGAAGGACUGUAAUAAAGUAGUUAUCCUUAGGUCCCUGGUUCGAUCCCAUGCGAUCGGAUUUU
Non-coding RNA from Massospora cicadina, 87 nucleotides. The record is from the annotation of a GenBank genome assembly. NCBI's taxonomy places the organism in Eukaryota, Fungi, Entomophthoromycota, Entomophthoromycetes, Entomophthorales, Entomophthoraceae.